AUUAAAACAUGAGCGAAAGCUCGAUUUAGUUAUGAUAAAUAUGGUUGGUAAAUUUCGUGCCAGCCACCGCGGUUAUACGAAAAACCAAAAAUAAUGGCCUACGGCGUAAAAAGUGACCCGAGCUAACGCCAAAAACUUAAAGAAAAACCAUAUCAAAGUUGUAAAACACUUGCACAUGGGAUCUCCAACAAUAAAAUGACUUUAAACCAAAGGCCACUUACCCUCACGAAAGCUAAGAAACAAACUAGGAUUAGAUACCCUACUAUGCUCAGCCCUUAACAUAGACAAUACAAACACAAUAUUGUCCGCCAGAGAACUACAAGUGAAAAACUAGAAACUCCAAGGACUUGGCGGUGCCCCACAUCAACCUAGAGGAGCCUGUCCUAUAAUCGAUAAUCCACGUUGCACCUUACCAUUUCUCGCAAUUCAGCCUAUAUACCGCCGUCGGAAGCUUACCUUAUGAAAGAAACAAAGUAAGCAAAAUAGUCAACAACUAAAACGUCAGGUCAAGGUGUAGCACAUGAAAUGGAAGAGAUGGGCUACAUUUUCUACUUCAGAAAACACGAACAGAACAAUGAAACCUGCACUCAAAGGAGGAUUUAGCAGUAAGACAAAAAAGAAGCUUUGCCUUAAACCCGCUCUGGGGCGCGCACACACCGCCCGUCACCCUC
This 671-nucleotide ribosomal RNA is filed under the name Varzea bistriata (two-striped Mabuya). Its description in RNAcentral is "partial 12S ribosomal RNA". It matches the Rfam family "Bacterial small subunit ribosomal RNA", at positions 442 to 1404 of the family's 1533-position model. Lineage: Eukaryota; Metazoa; Chordata; Lepidosauria; Squamata; Scincidae. The record is from RNAcentral.